Pelobates cultripes (western spadefoot toad) is the source of this 395-nucleotide non-coding RNA. The record is from the annotation of a GenBank genome assembly. NCBI's taxonomy places the organism in Eukaryota, Metazoa, Chordata, Amphibia, Anura, Pelobatidae.
CAGGAUUCCGCAUCAGUUAGUGGAUAAUUAAAGUGGAUCAUCUAUUCACAAGUGGUGGAUAUGCCUUCACGUGCAGGCUUUAUGGAGAACAGGUUUUCAAAUGCUAUGUACAUGCAUCCACACAGAUAUUAAGCCUGACUGCUCGAUUGUGAUUACCAAACAUUCAGACUUGCCAAAAAAAGCAAAGAAACUGAUCGACUUUCCACAUUUUUUUCAGAAUUAUAUCAACAAGAUUUGGUACAUUUUUUAUAUGGAGAAAAUGACUGCUGAGCUGCAUGACACAUCUUCCCUCAUUCAAAAAAGAAUUGGUACCCCUGGUUGGAUUGUUAUGCUGACUAGUCUGGAUAAGAGAGGUGCUUUUCUUAUGAACCUAGAAGAGGUGGUAUAAACUUAAC